ACGGGAGGCAGCAGUGGGGAAUAUUGGGCAAUGGGCGAAAGCCUGACCCAGCAACGCCGCGUGAAGGAAGAAGGCCUUCGGGUUGUAAACUUCUUUUGUCAGGGACGAAGGACGUGACGGUACCUGACGAAUAAGCACCGGCAAACUUCGUGCCAGCAGCCGCGGUAAUACGAGGGGUGCAAGCGUUGUUCGGAAUCACUGGGCGUAAAGGGCGUGUAGGCGGAGCUGCAAGUCAGAUGUGAAAUCCCGGGGCUCAACCCCGGAACUGCAUUUGAAACUGUAGCCCUUGAGUAUCGGAGAGGCAAGCGGAAUUCCUAGUGUAGCGGUGAAAUGCGUAGAUAUUAGGAGGAACACCAGUGGCGAAGGCGGCUUGCUGGACGACAACUGACGCUGAGGCGCGAAAGCGUGGGGAGCAAACAGGAUUAGAUACCCUGGUA
This 437-nucleotide ribosomal RNA is filed under the name uncultured Pseudoflavonifractor sp. RNAcentral's name for it is "partial 16S ribosomal RNA". It matches the Rfam family "Bacterial small subunit ribosomal RNA", at positions 341 to 792 of the family's 1533-position model. The record is from RNAcentral. Lineage: Bacteria; Bacillati; Bacillota; Clostridia; Eubacteriales; Oscillospiraceae.